UCAGUCCCCCAAGUAGCUGGGACUGUAGGGGCAUGCCACAACACCUGGCUAAUUUUUGUAUUUUUUGUAGAAAGGGGUAUCACAGUGUUGCCCAGCUUGGUCUUGAACUUCUGGGCUCAAGCAGUCUCCCCACCUCAGCCUCCCAAAGUGCUGGGACUACAGGCAUGAGCCACGACACCAGCCUAGUCUUUUUUUUUAGGU
Molecule: long non-coding RNA, 201 nt
Filed under: Homo sapiens (human)
Lineage: Eukaryota; Metazoa; Chordata; Mammalia; Primates; Hominidae
Description: HSALNT0189889
Source: RNAcentral